Molecule: unclassified non-coding RNA, 207 nt
Filed under: Hevea brasiliensis (rubber tree)
Lineage: Eukaryota; Viridiplantae; Streptophyta; Magnoliopsida; Malpighiales; Euphorbiaceae
Source: RNAcentral
GCUUUCUGACAACUGUUUUCAGCUAAUCACUUAGUAGAGUGGGAUGCAUCGGUUGAUUUGCAGAUUUAAAUGCUAUUGUUGGCCUUAAUCCUCACUUACAUGGGCUAGGCCUUUCUUGAGCCAUCAACAAGGGAUAAAGAAAUUAAGGCACUUUUAACUUGAGAAUAUCUGGGGAUUCUGGGCUUGGUAUAAUUGCUUUGAUUGUUA